UCCCUGGUGGUCCAGUGGUUAGGACUCCAUGCUUCCACUUCAGGGGGCACAGGUUCGAUCCCUGGUUGGGGAA
RNAcentral lists this transfer RNA (73 nucleotides) under Bos taurus (domestic cattle). It matches the Rfam family "tRNA". Rfam says of the family: Transfer RNA (tRNA) molecules are approximately 80 nucleotides in length. Their secondary structure includes four short double-helical elements and three loops (D, anti-codon, and T loops). The record is from Rfam by way of RNAcentral. RNAcentral also lists the same sequence under 4 other names. Lineage: Eukaryota; Metazoa; Chordata; Mammalia; Artiodactyla; Bovidae.